Molecule: ribosomal RNA, 547 nt
Filed under: uncultured bacterium
Lineage: Bacteria
Description: bacterial SSU rRNA
Rfam family: Bacterial small subunit ribosomal RNA
Source: RNAcentral
UGGGGAAUAUUGCGCAAUGGGGGGAACCCUGACGCAGCCAUGCCGCGUGAAUGAAGAAGGCCUUCGGGUUGUAAAGUUCUUUCGGUAUUGAGGAAGGUUGAUGUGUUAAUAGUACAUCAAAUUGACGUUAAAUACAGAAGAAGCACCGGCUAACUCCGUGCCAGCAGCCGCGGUAAUACGGAGGGUGCGAGCGUUAAUCGGAAUAACUGGGCGUAAAGGGCACGCAGGCGGUUAUUUAAGUGAGGUGUGAAAGCCCCGGGCUUAACCUGGGAAUAGCAUUUCAGACUGGGUAACUAGAGUACUUUAGGGAGGGGUAGAAUUCCACGUGUAGCGGUGAAAUGCGUAGAGAUGUGGAGGAAUACCGAAGGCGAAGGCAGCCCCUUGGGAAUGUACUGACGCUCAUGUGCGAAAGCGUGGGGAGCAAACAGGAUUAGAUACCCUGGUAGUCCACGCUGUAAACGCUGUCGAUUUGGGGGUUGGGGUUUAACUCUGGCGCCCGUAGCUAACGUGAUAAAUCGACCGCCUGGGGAGUACGGCCGCAAGGUUA